GUCUUUCCCCUGACCUCGCCUUGAGUAGGGCUCUUUGAGAUUGGACAGAAGUACAGCCAUCCAGCCCAGAACACAAGAAAAGAGCUGAUAAGCCUACUUUUCCUCAACAAACACCUGUGAUGAGAAAAUUGAGGCAAGAGAAUAGGUGGCCAAAAAUACCCUCAUAGACUUGAGAAAGUCCAUCUUGAUGCUAUCCAGUGAAACUUAAUGGCAACCCAGGAGCCAGGCAGCCUGCUUUAUUUUGGAAAUGAAAAUGUCAGUAUAGUAUAGUUGAUGAGAGUUUGAAGAGAAAAGAUGCAGCAAAGUAGAACACUAACACCAAUUCCAAACAAUUACCAAGAAUCUUACUAAAGUUACUACAAAUCAAAA
Long non-coding RNA from Piliocolobus tephrosceles (Ugandan red Colobus), 369 nucleotides. RefSeq lists it as uncharacterized. Lineage: Eukaryota; Metazoa; Chordata; Mammalia; Primates; Cercopithecidae. The transcript has 3 exons. The record is from RefSeq and is a predicted model, not a curated record.